AGCAAAAACAAUUUUUUCUCACAUGCACGUGAGUCUUCCCACUGCUGGUGACCCCAUACGCAAAUAAUGGACCUGGAAGGAAAUCAUAGACAAAAUAAAUAAAUGGUGGAUGAUAUCAUUUGUGCAACUUAAAUAUAUCCAAAUACCAAGAAAAAGAGUACAAUUCCUCUAACUUGUAGUGCAAGAUGCCAAUAACUUUAAUUGGUAGAGAAAUUAGCCUUUGCCUAUUUAAACAAUCUAAAUUCCCAGGUUAUUUUGUAGUUACUAGUUAGCGAUUUGUCAGUCUUGACAGGGAAAGCUUUGGUUGCCUAGGAAUGAAAACAAAUGGUAGAACUGAGAAGUUGUUGUACAUCCUUAUAGGUUCUCAAGUCAAUUGCAAUGAAAAGGAUUGACAAGCUUAUGAUUUCUAGGGUCCGCCCAAAACUAAUGGUUUCAGCAUUUCCUUAUACAACAAACCAUCAAGUCCCAAGAUUUCUCACCCUCAUUCACUACUCACCCAUUGCAACCAUACUUCAGCAACUGAGCAUUAAAAAUGCACUCCCACCCUCUAGCAUUGUUCAGCAAGGUAAUGUGGGAUCAGAACUGGAAGUCCUCAGAAUGCUGUUGAGCAAGUGAUUGAGGUGAAGAUCAUCCAUCAUAUGACAUCAAUUAGGCAUCGAUAACAGGUUUGCAGUUGAUCAAAAAUUUCACGGCUUCAUGUAUGUACUCUGUAGGGGUUAUAUGACUUAUAUCACAUCUUCCAAAUAUUUUGAUGAAUAUAGAUGAAAAGUUCAAAUGGUUUCAUGAAUGACUAAAUGUUAGGUGCUCUGAUCAAUAUGAGACU
This 823-nucleotide long non-coding RNA is filed under the name Fragaria vesca (wild strawberry). Its description in RNAcentral is "long non-coding RNA (FVES_LNC002435)". The record is from RNAcentral. Lineage: Eukaryota; Viridiplantae; Streptophyta; Magnoliopsida; Rosales; Rosaceae.